UAAGAUGGAGCUUCAGAAGUAGAAAUUUUUAGGCUUCAAAAGGGCUGAGACAUAUGCUGGGGGUGAGUGGGAAGCCUGGUACCCACUCCCUCCCCACCCCCUCGGGAUCUCCAGCUCCUCAGGCGAAGUGUGAACUCCAGGCCACCUGGGCCAACCAUUGAACAGACAAAGAGGGGCAGUGUCUCCCUGGAGCUCACACAGCAAUCUGAGCAUGACUUGACCCCAUGGGUUUCUUGCCCAGACCUUUCUUGGCACCUUUGAGGCCCUGAAGCUUCCAUUCCCUGGGCUCUCGUGGUGUGCCUGGUAUGAGGCUAGUGCUUUGAAGGAACUCUCAAUAACUAGGGAGCUGAUCCACUUCCAGGAAUUCAGAUUCUGAAGAGUGGGGUCGGGAAGGAGACAGGUAUCAUUGAACCUGGACCUCCCACCUCUAACCAGUUUUGCCUUAUGCCUCUUCUCUCAUGCACCAGGUUAGGGGGAGUCCUCCACAUUUCUACCUCGACUGUCCAUUGGUGUCUCAGCAGGGCUGUAAAAUUACUCCUCAUGUUCUGAAUGAAUUGAUCUAGGUAGUGGCUUGGUGGUUGGGACUUUGAAAAGCUUCCAGGUGAUUCCAAUGUGUGGAUGAGUGGAAAACCAUCGGGUGGGACUCCUGUGAUUGGGUUCCACCUCAAGCGAGGGGCCUCUUCCCAAAUCCUGCGGUGGUGGCAGAGGUGAACAGGUGUGGCCAGGGCUCCGCUGGAGUCUGUUACAGGACUGUGGAGCACCAGAGCCCCAGGUGGAAGGAGCCAGACUGGGAAGUAGGAAAGACAAGGACAGGGUGGGGAUACUUGGUACUCCAGCAAGGUCUCCAACUUCUGUGAUAAUUAGGUCUGUGCUAGUGCCAGUCCAGACUUGGGUUUCACCGACUCCAAGAUCCCUUCAGUUGUAAGAACUCUUUAUGUGUCAUUGAGGAAGAAAACCCUGCCAAUUACAUUUACGAGAUGUCAAUGAUUAAAAGGUGCAUCCUGAUUUCAGAAACAAGAAAGGAAAAGCAGUACAGCUGCCACCUUUAUAACCCCAAUGACUGGCUUGUGGGAGGGGCUUAGUGUUUGGUGAAUAGGUAGCAGUUCCCUUGAGACUGCCACCAGCACCUGGGGCCUCCACCUGGCCAGAACGGACUCCCAUCUUCCCCUCACAGCGUCCUCCUGGGUUCACCCUUUUUCUUUUAAAGAAUUUAUUCAUGAGAGACACACAGAAAGAGGCAGAGAUAAGGCAGAGGGAGAAGCAGGCUCCACACAGGGAGCCCGAUGUGGGACUCGAUCCCGGGACUCUGGGAUCAUGCCCCGGGCCGAAGGCAGGUGCUAAAUCGCUGAGCCACCCAGGGAUCCACCCCCCUGCCUUUUUUUUAACUUUUUUUUUUUUUAAUUUUUAUUUAUUUAUGAUAGUCACAGAGAGAGAGAGAGAGAGAGGCAGAGACACAGGCAGAGGGAGAAGCAGGCUCCAUGCACCGGGAGCCCGACGUGGGAUUCGAUCCCGGGUCUCCAGGAUCGCGCCCUGGGCCAAAGGCAGGCGCUAAACCGCUGUGCCACCCAGGGAUCCCUGCCGCCUUUUUUUAUUUUGAGAGAUUGAGAGGUGGGAAGGAGCAGAGGGAGGAGAGAGAAAUUUUUUUUUUUUUUUUUUAAGAUUUUCUUUAUUGGGACCCCAGGGUGGCUUGUCUGCCUUCAGCUCAAGUCAUGACCCAGGAAUCCUGGGAUUGAAUUCCACAUUGGGCUCACCACAGGAAGCCUGCUUCUCCCUCUGCCUGUCUCUACCUCUCUCUGUGUCGCUCAUGAAUAAAUAAAACCUUUAAGAAAAAAUAUUCAUGAGAGACAUAGGCAGAGGGAGAAGCAGGCUCCCUGCAGAGAGCCUGACAGGAUUGGAUCCCAGCACCCCAGGAUCACAACCUGAGCUGAAGGCGGACUCAACCACUGAGCCAGUCAGGUGCCCAGAGGGAGAGCCUGAUACAGAGCCUGAUGUGGGGCUUGGUCUCGCUACCCUGAGCUCAUGGCCUGAGCUGAAAUGAAGAGUUGGACACGGAACUCAUUGAGCCACACAGGUGUCCCAAUCUCUUUGAUGACACACUGUAGGCAGAAUAAUGACCCCCCCCCCCCCCCCCAAAUAUGGCAUGUCCUUAACAGAAUCGGUGAAGAUGGGACCUUAAGAAGCAAAAGAGAUUUUAAAGAAGUGAUUAAAUCAGUGACUGAAUUGGGGGGAGGGUUGUUCUGGAUUAUUGAGGUAUGUGGGCCCAGUGUCAUCAAAAGUGACCUGCAAUGUCAAAGGGUUAAGUCAGGAGGGUCAAAGGAGGUGAAGGUGUUAAACAUGGCUGCUGGCUUUGAAGAUGGAAGACAGGGCCAUAUCCCAAGGAAUGCAGUGGUCUGUGGAAGCUGGAAAGGCAAGAGCCACUACAAAGGGCAGCCCUACUGGGGAUUUGAACCCAGUGAAAACCAUUGUGGACUUCUGACUUCUAGGAUCCUACCUAAU
RNAcentral lists this long non-coding RNA (2496 nucleotides) under Canis lupus familiaris (dog). Its description in RNAcentral is "lncRNA (ENSCAFG00845014344.1)". Lineage: Eukaryota; Metazoa; Chordata; Mammalia; Carnivora; Canidae. The record is from RNAcentral.